CGUACACUCCUGCGGGAGGCAGCAGUGGGGAAUAUUGGACAAUGGGCGCAAGCCUGAUCCAGCCAUGCCGCGUGAGUGAUGAAGGCCCUAGGGUUGUAAAGCUCUUUCACCGGUGAAGAUAAUGACGGUAACCGGAGAAGAAGCCCCGGCUAACUUCGUGCCAGCAGCCGCGGUAAUACGAAGGGGGCUAGCGUUGUUCGGAUUUACUGGGCGUAAAGCGCACGUAGGCGGACUAUUAAGUCAGGGGUGAAAUCCCGGGGCUCAACCCCGGAACUGCCUUUGAUACUGGUAGUCUUGAGUUCGAGAGAGGUGAGUGGAAUUCCGAGUGUAGAGGUGAAAUUCGUAGAUAUUCGGAGGAACACCAGUGGCGAAGGCGGCUCACUGGCUCGAUACUGACGCUGAGGUGCGAAAGCGUGGGGAGCAAACAGGAUUAGAAACCCUGGUAGUCCCA
Molecule: ribosomal RNA, 451 nt
Filed under: uncultured organism
Description: partial 16S ribosomal RNA
Rfam family: Bacterial small subunit ribosomal RNA
Source: RNAcentral